UAUAAUGUGGGAAUCUGCCUUUUGGUUUGGAAUAACACGGGGAAACUUGUGCUAAUACCGAAUAAGCCCUUACGGGGAAAGUUUUAACGCCGAAAGAUGAGCCCGCACUUGAUUAGCUAGUUGGUAAGGUAAAAGCUUACCAAGGCAAUGAUCAAUAGCUGUUCUUAGAGGAAGACCAGCCACAUUGGGACUGAGACACGGCCCAGACUCCUACGGGAGGCAGCAGUGGGGAAUCUUGCACAAUGGGGGAAACCCUGAUGCAGCGAUGCCGCGUGAGUGAAGAAGGCCUUUGGGUUGUAAAACUCUUUCGUCGGGGAAGAAAAUGACUGUACCCGAAUAAGGAGGUCCGGCUAACUUCGUGCCAGCAGCCGCGGUAAUACGAAGGGACCUAGCGUAGUUCGGAAUUACUGGGCUUAAAGAGCUCGUAGGUGGUUAAAAAAGUUGAUGGUGAAAUCCCAAGGCUCAACCUUGGAACUGCCAUCAAAACUUUUUAGCUAGAGUGUGAUAGAGGUAAGUGGAAUUUCUAGUGUAGAGGUGAAAUUCGUAGAUAUUAGAAAGAACACCAAAUGCGAAGGCAACUUACUGGGUCACUACUGACACUGAGGAGCGAAAGCAUGGGUAGCGAAGAGGAUUAGAUACCCUCGUAGUCCAUGCCGUAAACGAUGUGUGCUAGACGUUGGAAAUAUAUUUUUUCAGUGUCGCAGCGAAAGCAUUAAGCACACCGCCCUGGGGGAGUACGACCGCAAGGUUAAAACUCAAA
RNAcentral lists this ribosomal RNA (760 nucleotides) under uncultured Alphaproteobacteria bacterium. Its description in RNAcentral is "bacterial SSU rRNA". It matches the Rfam family "Bacterial small subunit ribosomal RNA", at positions 111 to 905 of the family's 1533-position model. Lineage: Bacteria; Pseudomonadati; Pseudomonadota; Alphaproteobacteria. The record is from RNAcentral.